This 72-nucleotide transfer RNA is filed under the name Ackermannviridae sp. Its description in RNAcentral is "tRNA-Arg". It matches the Rfam family "tRNA". From Rfam's summary of the family: Transfer RNA (tRNA) molecules are approximately 80 nucleotides in length. Their secondary structure includes four short double-helical elements and three loops (D, anti-codon, and T loops). The record is from RNAcentral. Lineage: Duplodnaviria; Heunggongvirae; Uroviricota; Caudoviricetes; Pantevenvirales; Ackermannviridae.
GCAAUCAUAGCUUAAUUGGUAAAGCCACGGCUCGAGCGUGAGUUACAGGUUCAAAUCCAGUUGAUUGCACCA